Molecule: long non-coding RNA, 513 nt
Organism: Apus apus (common swift)
Lineage: Eukaryota; Metazoa; Chordata; Aves; Apodiformes; Apodidae
Exons: 3
Source: RefSeq, a predicted model, not a curated record
UUUACCUAUUGGAGAAAUACCAAAAAGUACUCUGGCUGAGUCCAACUACAAGGUUGUAAGUUAAUGUUUCUACCUUUUCCCCUCAGUCACUGAAUUAUGAGCAGUGAAUAAUGUCUGUCUUGUGAUUGGUGCUGUCCUGCUUUACUUGGAGAGACAGUAAGUUUGCUCAGUGUUUGUGACUGCCAGUGAAGUCUGUUCUCUAGUUGCUUACUGGAGAGGGAAGUUCUGAUAGCCUGGCACAGCUAGCAGUUAUUAAGGACAAGUGCAGGCAAUCUGAUUCCUUGUAUUUGAAGGUGAUAUGUACAGGAUUUGGAUUGAAAAACAAUGUGAACAGCGAGUGAAUUACAAGAUCCUUUUGGCUGUUGUGUUUUCUGCACAAGGGAGUCAGUUUCUUAGAAAAUAGAUAGCUAUGCAGAAGGACAAGGAAAAUGGAGUACUUAAACCUGCUGAUGGCCUUUGUGAAGAACACAUCAAAGGUUACCACUCUGGUUCCUGUAAUCCAAGGAAGCUAAA